GUGAGGAAUAUUGGUCAAUGGACGUGAGUCUGAACCAGCCAAGUAGCGUGAAGGAUGACUGCCCUAUGGGUUGUAAACUUCUUUUAUAUGGGAAUAAAGUGAGGCACGCGUGCCUUUUUGUAUGUACCAUUAUGAAUAAGCAUCGGCUAACUCCGUGCCAGCAGCCGCGGUAAUACGGAGGAUGCGAGCGUUAUCCGGAUUUAUUGGGUUUAAAGGGAGCGUAGGUGGACGAUUAAGUCAGUUGUGAAAGUUUGGGGCUCAACCUUAAAAUUGCAGUUGAUACUGAUUGUCUUGAGUGCGUUAAAGGUGGGCGGAAUUCGUGGUGUAGCGGUGAAAUGCUUAGAUAUCACGAAGAACUCCGAUUGCGAAGGCAGCUCACCGGGCCGUAACUGACACUGAUGCUCGAAAGUGUGGGUAUCAAACAGGAUUAGAAACCCGAGUAGUCC
This 446-nucleotide ribosomal RNA is filed under the name uncultured bacterium. RNAcentral's name for it is "bacterial SSU rRNA". It matches the Rfam family "Bacterial small subunit ribosomal RNA", at positions 354 to 796 of the family's 1533-position model. The record is from RNAcentral.